ACGGGUGUAGCUCAAUUGGUAGAGUGGUGGUCUCCAAAACCAUAGGUUGGGAGUUCGAGUCUCCCCACCCGUGC
This 74-nucleotide transfer RNA is filed under the name Candidatus Cardinium hertigii. Its description in RNAcentral is "tRNA-Trp". It matches the Rfam family "tRNA". Rfam says of the family: Transfer RNA (tRNA) molecules are approximately 80 nucleotides in length. Lineage: Bacteria; Pseudomonadati; Bacteroidota; Cytophagia; Cytophagales; Amoebophilaceae. The record is from RNAcentral.